Molecule: small nuclear RNA, 124 nt
Filed under: Nematostella vectensis (starlet sea anemone)
Lineage: Eukaryota; Metazoa; Cnidaria; Anthozoa; Actiniaria; Edwardsiidae
Description: U2 spliceosomal RNA
Rfam family: U2 spliceosomal RNA
About the family: U2 is a small nuclear RNA (snRNA) component of the spliceosome (involved in pre-mRNA splicing).
Source: Rfam by way of RNAcentral
AUCGCUUCUCGGCCUUUUGGCUAAGAUCAAGUGUAGUAUCUGUUCUUAUCGACCGAAGACGAGUGUAAGCCUCGGGUUUGAAGGUUAGAUAGGAAUAGACGAGGGUCUUCCCGUAUAAGCCUCC